RNAcentral lists this ribosomal RNA (885 nucleotides) under Hymenobacter persicinus. Its description in RNAcentral is "bacterial SSU rRNA". It matches the Rfam family "Bacterial small subunit ribosomal RNA", at positions 1 to 896 of the family's 1533-position model. Lineage: Bacteria; Pseudomonadati; Bacteroidota; Cytophagia; Cytophagales; Hymenobacteraceae. The record is from RNAcentral.
UACAAUGGAGAGUUUGAUCCUGGCUCAGGAUGAACGCUAGCGGCAGGCCUAAUACAUGCAAGUCGAACGGAUGUAGCAAUACAUUAGUGGCGCACGGGUGCGUAACGCGUAACCAACCUACCUGGAUCUGGGGGAUAGCCCGCCGAAAGGCGGAUUAAUACCGCAUAACACUGCAGAGCGGCAUCGCUGAACAGUUAAAGAUUUAUUGGAUUCAGAUGGGGUUGCGUGACAUUAGCUAGUUGGCGGGGUAACGGCCCACCAAGGCGACGAUGUCUAGGGGACCUGAGAGGGUGAUCCCCCACACUGGCACUGAGAUACGGGCCAGACUCCUACGGGAGGCAGCAGUAGGGAAUAUUGGGCAAUGGGCGAGAGCCUGACCCAGCCAUGCCGCGUGCCGGAUGAAGGCCUUCUGGGUUGUAAACGGCUUUUCUCAGGGAAGAAAAAGGUGAUGCGUCACAAACUGACGGUACCUGAGGAAUAAGCACCGGCUAACUCCGUGCCAGCAGCCGCGGUAAUACGGAGGGUGCAAGCGUUGUCCGGAUUUAUUGGGUUUAAAGGGUGCGUAGGUGGCCCUAUAAGUCCGUGGUGAAAGCCUGCUGCUCAACAGCAGAACUGCCAUGGAUACUGUAGGGCUUGAGUCCAGACGAGGUUGGCGGAAUGGAAGAUGUAGCGGUGAAAUGCAUAGAUAUCUUCCAGAACCCCGAUUGCGUAGGCAGCUGACUAGGCUGGUACUGACACUGAGGCACGAAAGCGUGGGGAGCGAACAGGAUUAGAUACCCUGGUAGUCCACGCCGUAAACGAUGGAUACUCGUUGCUAGCGAUACACAGUUAGUGACUUAGCGAAAGCGUUAAGUAUCCCACCUGGGGAGUACGCUCGCAAGAGUG